AUACGGAGGAUCCGAGCGUUAUCCGGAUUUAUUGGGUUUAAAGGGUGCGCAGGCGGCCAUUUAAGUCAGCGGUUAAAUCGUGGGGCUCAACCCCAUUCUGCCGUUGAUACUGGGUGGCUUGAUUGCGGUCGAGGUUGGCGGAAUUCGUAGUGUAGCGGUGAAAUGCAUAGAUAUGACGAAGAACACCGAUUGCGUAGGCAGCUGACCAGACCGCAAAUGACGCUCAUGCACGAAAGUGCGGGGAUCGAACAGGAUUAGAUACCCUGGUAGUCCGCACAGUAAACGAUGAAUACUUGUUUUCGGCGAUAUAAUGUCGGAGGCAAAGCGAAAGCGAUAAGUAUUCCACCUGGGGAGUACGCCGGUAACGGUGAAACUCAAAUGAAUUGACGGGG
Molecule: ribosomal RNA, 392 nt
Filed under: uncultured bacterium
Lineage: Bacteria
Description: partial 16S ribosomal RNA
Rfam family: Bacterial small subunit ribosomal RNA
Source: RNAcentral